GACGAACGCUGGCGGCGUGCCUAAUACAUGCAAGUCGAACGCACUCUCGUUUAGAUUGAAGGAGCUUGCUCCUGAUUGAUAAACAUUUGAGUGAGUGGCGGACGGGUGAGUAACACGUGGGUAACCUGCCCUAAAGUGGGGGAUAACAUUUGGAAACAGAUGCUAAUACCGCAUAAAACCUAAACACCGCAUGGUGUAGGGUUGAAAGAUGGUUUCGGCUAUCACUUUAGGAUGGACCCGCGGUGCAUUAGUUAGUUGGUGAGGUAAAGGCUCACCAAGACCGUGAUGCAUAGCCGACCUGAGAGGGUAAUCGGCCACACUGGGACUGAGACACGGCCCAGACUCCUACGGGAGGCAGCAGUAGGGAAUCUUCCACAAUGGACGAAAGUCUGAUGGAGCAACGCCGCGUGAGUGAAGAAGGUUUUCGGAGUCGUAAAACUCUAGUUGUUGAGAGAAUGUAUCUGAUAGUAACUGAUC
Molecule: ribosomal RNA, 477 nt
Filed under: uncultured bacterium
Lineage: Bacteria
Description: bacterial SSU rRNA
Rfam family: Bacterial small subunit ribosomal RNA
Source: RNAcentral